CCUACGGGUGGCAGCAGUGAGGAAUAUUGGUCAAUGGCCGGAAGGCUGAACCAGCCAAGCCGCGUGAAGGACGAAGGUGCCAAGCAUUGUAAACUUCUUUUGUCAAGGGACAAAAUCAGGCUCGAGAGCCUGACCGAGGGUACUUGAAGAAAAAGCAUCGGCUAAGUCCGUGCCAGCAGCCGCGGUAAUACGGAGGAUGCGAGCGUUCUCCGGAUUUAUUGGGUUUAAAGGGUGCGUAGGCGGACUGUUAAGUCUGCGGUAAAAGCCCGGGGCCCAACCCCGGCGAGCCGUUGAAACUGUCGGUCUUGAGAUGUCGAGAGGUAUGCGGAAUGCGCAGGGUAGCGGUGAAAUGCUUAGAUAUUGCGCAGAACUCCGAUUGCGAAGGCAGCAUACCGGCGGCGAUCUGACGCUGAGGCACGAAAGCGUGGGUAUCGAACAGGAUUAGAUACCCCGGUAGUC
This 459-nucleotide ribosomal RNA is filed under the name uncultured bacterium. Its description in RNAcentral is "partial 16S ribosomal RNA". It matches the Rfam family "Bacterial small subunit ribosomal RNA", at positions 338 to 795 of the family's 1533-position model. The record is from RNAcentral.